RNAcentral lists this long non-coding RNA (2480 nucleotides) under Homo sapiens (human). Its description in RNAcentral is "HSALNT0267327". Lineage: Eukaryota; Metazoa; Chordata; Mammalia; Primates; Hominidae. The record is from RNAcentral.
CCCCCACCAUGUCCACUGACUCUGAGCCCAGCUCAGCACUAGGACUUGCCUAGGAACUGCAGUCCUUGUGACCUUGACUGCCAUUCAAGUUUAUUUACAACCCAGAGCAUUUUACCCCCAUGGUGGUAAGGCUUGCUGAAACUCAAGUUCCAUCCACUGGGUUGGGCAAUUCCCUUGGGCAAUUACCCUCUGGCUAGGGCUGGUCUAAAUACUCUCUCCAUCAUCAGCUGUCAGCUGAGUUCAGUUCGGUUUUGCUUUCACUGUGACAAAGCAGCAUCAAAUUCAAUGCAAUGUCUCACAAUAGCUGCGCUCUCCCUCUUCCAAGCACAGAGAUUCUCUCUCUACGCCACAAAGCCACUGCCAUGGGAUGGGGACAGGUGGCAUCAGCAACUCAAGACUGUCUUCCCUACCCUCUUCAUUGCCUCUUUCAACAGUAUGAAGUUAAAAUCAGCUCUGAAGAUGACAAUGCAUUCAAAUUCACCAGAUCACCCCCAGCUCUGAAGAUGACAAUGCAUUCAAAUUCACCAGAUCACCCCCAGCUCUGAAGAUGACAAUGCAUUCAAAUUCACCAGAUCACCCCCAGCUCUGAAGAUGACAAUGCAUUCAAAUUCACCAGAUCAUCUAAUGAAGUUUCACUUCUGUUUCUUAGCACCUCCCUGACUCUUCUGUUCCCUAGAGUGGAAGGAGGGUCUGGGAAAGGACCUUUGCCUGAAACUAAGAAGUCAACAUGAUACCCCUCAAUAUCCCACCUGGGAAGGGAGCUGCCAAUGAGCCGAAGCAGAUGGGGAGGAGAUGAAACUGGGCUAUCAGCUUUGCAGGCUGGAGCCCCCUCCUGUAUCUGCCUUAUCUUCUGGUAUCCCCAGCACUUGGCCCUUGGCCUUGUAGAAAGCAGGAAUGUGAUACAUGUUUGGUGAAUGAAUGAGUGAAUUAAUUAAUUAAUUUAAUAUAUUAAUUUGUAUCUAUUUCAAAUAGAGUCUGAAGCUCAAUUAAUACUUUAAAAAUACAGCUGGGCAUGGUGGCUCACACCUGUAAUCCCAGCACUUUGGGAGGCCAAGGCGGGAGCAUCGUCCAAGAGUUUAAGGCUAGCUUGGGCAACAUGGUGAAACCCCAUCUCUACCAAAAAUUUAAAAAAAAAAGAAUUAGCUAGGCAUGGUGGUAUGCGCCUGUAGUCCCAGCUACUCAGGAGACUGAGGUGGGGGAAUCACUUGAUCCUGGGAGGGUGAGACUGCAGUGAGCUGAGAUCACGGCACUGCCCUCCAGCCUGGGUGACAAGGUGUGGCCCUGUCUCAAAAAUAAAUAAAAAUAAAAAUACUAUAUAAUCAUUCAUUCUAAAACAGAAGUUAUAAUCAUGCCUAUCCCUAGGGCCAUUGGGAAGAUUAAAUCCAUGAAUAAAUGUAAAACACUUAGACCAGCGCCUGGCACAUACCAAUCCCGCAAUAAGCUAUUCAUGUAAACUGAGAGUAGGUUGUCCCACUCCAUGUGGGAUUAGGGGUCAGUGUAGGACCAGGGUCAGAGAUCAAGGGGAGAAUCACGCAAAAAUUUAGUAUGAAGUUAGGAUUAGAGGACCAGUUUGUGUCCACCCAGCAGUCAGAUUUUUUAGUUACCAUCUAUUUGUUUAUUUAUGUCCCACAUUGUUCCAGGAGGAGUCAAGGCAGCUUUCAGGAAUUCUAACUACAGAAAUCAAGAAAGAGAAAGAUCAAAGUUACUAUGGACUGAAUGUUUGUGUCCUCCCCAAAAUUAAUAUGUUGAAGCCUAAUCCCUAAUGGGAUGGUAUUAAGAGGUGAGACCUUUGAGAGGUGAUUACGUCAUGAAGGUGGGGCUCUCAUGAAUGGGAUUAGUUCCCUUUUAAGAAGAAACAUAAAAGGAAAAAAAGAAAGAAAGAAAAAAAGAAAAAAUAAUAAAAAGAGAAGAAACGUAAGAGAGACCUCUCUCUCUCUCUUUCAAUCAAUCAAUAGCUAGAUCUCCCCCUCUCUACCAUGUGAGGAUACAACAAGAACACAGCCCUCUGCAAAGCAAGAAGAGUGUCCCCACCAGAUACUGAAUCUUCCAGCACCUUGAACUUGGACAUCUCAGCCUCCAAAACCAUGAUAAAUAAAAUUCUGUUAUUUCAGCCACCGAGUAUGUGGUAUUCUGUUAUAGCAGCCUGAACUAAGACGAAAUGGAGGUGUUACUCCCCAAGGGUACUCAUGCUGGCACCCUGAGGCCUUCUCAGCACAGAGCUGCAAAUGGGCAACCAAAUCUCAGGCCUUGCUGGUCAUUCUGAAGGUCACACUGACAGCCUAUGGUCAAGCAGAGCCAGCUGCACGAAGUCCUGGUAAGAAUUCCAUGAGAUCCCCCAUGCAAAGUGUUGGCACAGAGUAAGUUCUCAACACAUGUUGCUAUUGCUAUCAGUGCACAGGCUGAGGUGAAUGCGCAGCGAGCAGCAGGGACCAGCAUUUUAUCACUGGCCAGAGCAGUGCAUUCUCUCCCCAUGAGCAGCC